Molecule: ribosomal RNA, 1417 nt
Filed under: Comamonas testosteroni
Lineage: Bacteria; Pseudomonadati; Pseudomonadota; Betaproteobacteria; Burkholderiales; Comamonadaceae
Description: bacterial SSU rRNA
Rfam family: Bacterial small subunit ribosomal RNA
Source: RNAcentral
GCAAGGGGGACUGCAUUUACCAUGCAAGUCGAACGGCAGCACGGACUUCGGUCUGGUGGCGAGUGGCGAACGGGUGAGUAAUACAUCGGAACGUGCCUAGUAGUGGGGGAUAACUACUCGAAAGAGUAGCUAAUACCGCAUGAGAUCUACGGAUGAAAGCAGGGGACCCUCGGGCCUUGUGCUACUAGAGCGGCUGAUGGCAGAUUAGGUAGUUGGUGGGAUAAAAGCUUACCAAGCCUGUGAUCUGUAGCUGGUCUGAGAGGACGACCAGCCACACUGGGACUGAGACACGGCCCAGACUCCUACGGGAGGCAGCAGUGGGGAAUUUUGGACAAUGGGCGAAAGCCUGAUCCAGCAAUGCCGCGUGCAGGAUGAAGGCCCUCGGGUUGUAAACUGCUUUUGUACGGAACGAAAAGCCUGAGGCUAAUAUCCUCGGGUCAUGACGGUACCGUAAGAAUAAGCACCGGCUAACUACGUGCCAGCAGCCGCGGUAAUACGUAGGGUGCAAGCGUUAAUCGGAAUUACUGGGCGUAAAGCGUGCGCAGGCGGUUUUGUAAGACAGUGGUGAAAUCCCCGGGCUCAACCUGGGAACUGCCAUUGUGACUGCAAGGCUGGAGUGCGGCAGAGGGGGAUGGAAUUCCGCGUGUAGCAGUGAAAUGCGUAGAUAUGCGGAGGAACACCGAUGGCGAAGGCAAUCCCCUGGGCCUGCACUGACGCUCAUGCACGAAAGCGUGGGGAGCAAACAGGAUUAGAUACCCUGGUAGUCCACGCCCUAAACGAUGUCAACUGGUUGUUGGGAAUUAACUUUCUCAGUAACGAAGCUAACGCGUGAAGUUGACCGCCUGGGGAGUACGGCCGCAAGGUUAAAACUCAAAGGAAUUGACGGGGACCCGCACAAGCGGUGGAUGAAUGUGGUUUAAUUCGAUGCAACGCGAAAAACCUUACCCACCUUUGACAUGGCAGGAACUUACCAGAGAUGGUUUGGUGCUCGAAAGAGAACCUGCACACAGGUGCUGCAUGGCUGUCGUCAGCUCGUGUCGUGAGAUGUUGGGUUAAGUCCCGCAACGAGCGCAACCCUUGCCAUUAGUUGCUACAUUCAGUUGAGCACUCUAAUGGGACUGCCGGUGACAAACGGAGGAAAGGUGGGGGAUGACGUCAAGUCCUCCUGGCCCUUUAUAGGUGGGGGUACCACGUCCUACAAUGGCUGGUGACAAAGGGUGGCCAACCCCCCAAGGGGGAGCUAAUCCCAUAAAAGCCAGUCUUAAUUCCCGAAUCCCAACCUUGCACUCCACCUGGCUGGAGUCCGGAAACCCUAAGAAACCGGGGAUCGAAAUUGCCCGGGGAAAAAAUUUCCCGGGCUUUGGAAAACCCGCCGUCACACAUUGGGAAAGGGGUCCGCCCAAAUAAGGAGCUAAAC